GACGAACGCUGGCGGCGUGCUUAACACAUGCAAGUCGAACGGAAAGGCCCUGCUUUUGUGGGGUGCUCGAGUGGCGAACGGGUGAGUAACACGUGAGUAACCUGCCCUUGACUUUGGGAUAACUUCAGGAAACUGGGGCUAAUACCGGAUAGGAGCUCCUGCUGCAUGGUGGGGGUUGGAAAGUUUCGGCGGUUGGGGAUGGACUCGCGGCUUAUCAGCUUGUUGGUGGGGUAGUGGCUUACCAAGGCUUUGACGGGUAGCCGGCCUGAGAGGGUGACCGGCCACAUUGGGACUGAGAAACGGCCCAGACGCCUACGGGAGGCAGCAGUGGGGAAUAUUGCACAAUGGGCGGAAGCCUGAUGCAGCAACGCCGCGUGCGGGAUGACGGCCUUCGGGUUGUAAACCGCUUUCGCCUGUGACGAAGCGUGAGUGACGGUAAUGGGUAAAGAAGCACCGGCUAACUACGUG
RNAcentral lists this ribosomal RNA (468 nucleotides) under uncultured bacterium. RNAcentral's name for it is "partial 16S ribosomal RNA". It matches the Rfam family "Bacterial small subunit ribosomal RNA", at positions 28 to 507 of the family's 1533-position model. The record is from RNAcentral.